GAUGAACGCUAGCGGGAGGCUUAACACAUGCAAGUCGAGGGGCAGCAUAGGGUAGCAAUACUCUGAUGGCGACCGGCAAACGGGUGAGUAACGCGUAUGCAACCUACCCUGUACAGGGGGAUAACCCGGAGAAAUUCGGACUAAUAUCCCGUAAUAAUAUCCGGAGGCAUCUUUGGAUAUUUAAAGUUCCGACGGUACGGGAUGGGCAUGCGUAACAUUAACUGGUUGGUAAGGUAACGGCUUACCAAGGCUAUGAUGUUUAGGGGUCCUGAGAGGGUGGUCCCCCACACUGGUACUGAGACACGGACCAGACUCCUACGGGAGGCAGCAGUGAGGAAUAUUGGUCAAUGGGCGCAAGCCUGAACCAGCCAUCCCGCGUGCAGGAAGACGGCCCAUGGGUUGUAAACUGCUUUUCCAGGGAGAGAAACUUACGCACGUGUUGCGUGACUGACGGUACCCUGGGAAUAAGCAUCGGCUAACUCCGUG
This 486-nucleotide ribosomal RNA is filed under the name uncultured bacterium. RNAcentral describes it as "bacterial SSU rRNA". It matches the Rfam family "Bacterial small subunit ribosomal RNA", at positions 28 to 507 of the family's 1533-position model. The record is from RNAcentral.